This 91-nucleotide transfer RNA is filed under the name Gammaproteobacteria bacterium. RNAcentral's name for it is "tRNA-Ser". It matches the Rfam family "tRNA". From Rfam's summary of the family: Transfer RNA (tRNA) molecules are approximately 80 nucleotides in length. Lineage: Bacteria; Pseudomonadati; Pseudomonadota; Gammaproteobacteria. The record is from RNAcentral. RNAcentral also lists the same sequence under 4 other names.
GGAGAGGUGUCCGAGUGGCUUAAGGAGCUUGCUUGGAAAGCAAGUGUGCGGUAACCCCGUACCGCGGGUUCGAAUCCCGCCCUCUCCGCCA